ACGAGCGGCGGACGGGUGAGUAAUGCAUAGGAAUCUGUAGUGGGGGAUAGCCCGGGGAAACCCGGAUUAAUACCGCAUACGCCCUACGGGGGAAAGCAGGGGAUCUUCGGACCUUGCGCUAUUGGAUGAGCCUAUGUCGGAUUAGCUUGUUGGUGGGGUAAUGGCUCACCAAGGCGACGAACCGUAGCUGGUCUGAGAGGAUGAUCACGCACAUCGGGACUGAGACACGGCCCGAACACCUACGGGAGGCAGCAGUGGGGAAUAUUGGACAAUGGGGGCAACCCUGAUCCAGCCAUGCCGCGUGUGUGAAGAAGGCUUUCGGGUUGUAAAGCACUUUCAGUGAGGAGGAAAACCUUAUGGCUAAUACCCAUGAGGCUUGACGUUACUCACAGAAGAAGCACCGGCUAACUCCGUGCCAGCAGCCGCGGUAAUACGGAGGGUGCAAGCGUUAAUCGGAAUUACUGGGCGUAAAGCGCGCUAGGUGGUUUGAUAAGCGAGAUGUGAAAGCCCCGGGCUUUAACCUGGGAACGGCAUUCGAACUGUCAGGCUAGAGUGUGGUAGAGGGUAGUGGAAUUUCCUGUGUAGCGGUGAAAUGCGUAGAUAUUGGAAGGAACACCAGAGGCGAAGGCGGCUACCUGGCCAACACUGACGCUGAGGUGCGAGAGCGUGGGAGCAAACAGGAUUAGAUACCCUGGUAGUCCACGCCGUAAACGAUGUCUACUAGCCGUUGGGACUCUUGAAGUCUUAGUGGCGCAGUUAACGCACUAAGUAGACCGCCUGGGGAGUACGGCCGCAAGGUUAAAACUCAAAUCGCCAUCGCAUAUUCUUUUA
Molecule: ribosomal RNA, 831 nt
Filed under: Marinobacter sp.
Lineage: Bacteria; Pseudomonadati; Pseudomonadota; Gammaproteobacteria; Pseudomonadales; Marinobacteraceae
Description: bacterial SSU rRNA
Rfam family: Bacterial small subunit ribosomal RNA
Source: RNAcentral